GAUGAACGCUGGCGGUAUGCCUAACACAUGCAAGUCGUACGAGAGUUUUUAACUCUAGUGGCGGACGGGUGAGUAACACGUGAGAAUUUGCCUUUAGGAGGGGGAUAACAAUUGGAAACGAAUGCUAAUACCCCAUAUGCUUUUGAGUGAAAUGGAUUUUAUCCGCCUAAAGUAAAGCUCGCGGCUGAUUAGCUUGUUGGUAAGGUAAGAGCUUACCAAGGCGACGAUCAGUAUCUGGUUUGAGAGGACGAUCAGACACACUGGAACUGAGACACGGUCCAGACUCCUACGGGAGGCAGCAGUGGGGAAUUUUCCGCAAUGGGCGAAAGCCUGACGGAGCAAUACCGCGUGAGGGAAGACUGCCUAUGGGUUGUAAACCUCUUUUUUCAGGGAGGAAUAAAAUGACGUGUACCUGAAGAAUAAGCAUCGGCUAACUCCGUG
Molecule: ribosomal RNA, 441 nt
Filed under: uncultured bacterium
Lineage: Bacteria
Description: bacterial SSU rRNA
Rfam family: Bacterial small subunit ribosomal RNA
Source: RNAcentral